Molecule: long non-coding RNA, 1126 nt
Organism: Ctenopharyngodon idella (grass carp)
Lineage: Eukaryota; Metazoa; Chordata; Actinopteri; Cypriniformes; Xenocyprididae
Exons: 3
Source: RefSeq, a predicted model, not a curated record
UAUAACUGUAACAUAUAUUAGUAAAACUAAUAUUAGCAUUAGUAUAACUAUAAUUGUACUGCUACUGAAUUGGCAGAUAAUUAACAUUUUAGGUCAAACAGGAAGAUGACAGACCUGAAAUUGUUGUGAGAGACAUUUAAAAAGGUUUGCUUGUAAUUAUGUGCAGCUGGAGGGAGACUGACUCGAAGGAAAAAUAACCUCAAGGUCAUGUGUUGUUGGAGUCAGCAUCGUGUUGAGCGUGUGACCGCGGCUUGUUUGGCUCGGAAAAUCCCACAGCUGUGACGUUCAGAGACGGGGACCGGGCGGUGAGACUUGUUUUGUGACUAAGGCCCGCUGCUUCAGGCUGCCGUUACAGAUGAGACAGAGACCAGAGACAAACACUGACAUGACAGACUCCCCUCCGCUCGCCACAGUUCAACUCUUAACGAGGUUGCUGCCAAAUAACCCCCCGGACCCCGACUAAUCACAGCGAUCUUCCUCACGUAAAUGCCUGCCUGCCUGUUACUCGUCCUUCUUCUCCUCAUCUCCCUAUGAUCUUCAGAAGACGCAUUCAAACCACAAUAGAUGCAAAGAGCAACAAUAUAUCUGGGUAAUAAGUAACACAAAUCAGGUGAAGGUCAGGUUACCUAAAAUAAUGUGCUUCUUAUGGUAACAUGGCUUUAUUCAAGCAAAAAAUAAUGUUUCCAUUGAUGCAGUUUUACAGAUGCCUUCAUCUAAAGUUAAUCAGUUACUUGGGAAUGACACUUGCCAUUGUUACCAUUGUUAAUGGAAGUCAUUUUUAAGGAAAACAUUUCACAUUUUACACUAGUACAGUAUAGUAUAGUUUUCCAGUAAAAAGCCAUGUUUUUUUGCAGUAAUUGGUGUGUGACAAAAGAGUGCAGCUUUGUUUCUGUAUCAAACUGUAUACGGUACACUACCCUAUAACAAUCAAAUGUGCUUUUUUAGAAUGUCUCUCUUAGUUAGUUGUGCUGCUGUUAAACGCUGUUUGUUAUAAGUUGAAUAUUUUUGUGUGUUUAUUACAGUUUUGUGUGCAAUAUAAAUCAUGGUCCAUGUUGCUAAUGUAUAGUUUCGCUGCAUCAUCAUUGGCAUUAUCUCAUUUCCCUUUUAAUUAAAUGUUGUUUUAUUU